RNAcentral lists this ribosomal RNA (465 nucleotides) under Vreelandella stevensii. Its description in RNAcentral is "partial 16S ribosomal RNA". It matches the Rfam family "Bacterial small subunit ribosomal RNA", at positions 338 to 795 of the family's 1533-position model. Lineage: Bacteria; Pseudomonadati; Pseudomonadota; Gammaproteobacteria; Oceanospirillales; Halomonadaceae. The record is from RNAcentral.
CCUACGGGGUGCAGCAGUGGGGAAUAUUGGACAAUGGGCGAAAGCCUGAUCCAGCCAUGCCGCGUGUGUGAAGAAGGCCUUCGGGUUGUAAAGCACUUUCAGUGGGGAAGAAAGCCUUGGGGCUAAUACCCUCGAGGAAGGACAUCACCCACAGAAGAAGCACCGGCUAACUCCGUGCCAGCAGCCGCGGUAAUACGGAGGGUGCGAGCGUUAAUCGGAAUUACUGGGCGUAAAGCGCGCGUAGGCGGUCUGAUAAGCCGGUUGUGAAAGCCCCGGGCUCAACCUGGGAACGGCAUCCGGAACUGUCAGGCUAGAGUGCAGGAGAGGAAGGUAGAAUUCCCGGUGUAGCGGUGAAAUGCGUAGAGAUCGGGAGGAAUACCAGUGGCGAAGGCGGCCUUCUGGACUAACACUGACGCUGAGGUGCGAAAGCGUGGGUAGCAAACAGGAUUAGAUACCCUUGUAGUC